GCAGAGUUCUCGGAGUCACGAAGAGUUUGAUCCUGGCUCAGGAUGAACGCUGGCGGCGUGCUUAACACAUGCAAGUCGAACGGGAUCCAUCAGGCUUUGCUUGGUGGUGAGAGUGGCGAACGGGUGAGUAAUGCGUGACCGACCUGCCCCAUACACCGGAAUAGCUCCUGGAAACGGGUGGUAAUGCCGGAUGCUCCGACUCCUCGCAUGGGGUGUCGGGAAAGAUUUCAUCGGUAUGGGAUGGGGUCGCGUCCUAUCAGGUAGUCGGCGGGGUAACGGCCCACCGAGCCUACGACGGGUAGCCGGCCUGAGAGGGCGACCGGCCACAUUGGGACUGAGAUACGGCCCAGACUCCUACGGGAGGCAGCAGUGGGGAAUAUUGCACAAUGGGCGCAAGCCUGAUGCAGCGACGCCGCGUGCGGGAUGACGGCCUUCGGGUUGUAAACCGCUUUUGAUCGGGAGCAAGCCUUCGGGUGAGUGUACCUUUCGAAUAAGCACCGGCUAACUACGUGCCAGCAGCCGCGGUAAUACGUAGGGUGCAAGCGUUAUCCGGAAUUAUUGGGCGUAAAGGGCUCGUAGGCGGUUCGUCGCGUCCGGUGUGAAAGUCCAUCGCUUAACGGUGGAUCUGCGCCGGGUACGGGCGGGCUGGAGUGCGGUAGGGGAGACUGGAAUUCCCGGUGUAACGGUGGAAUGUGUAGAUAUCGGGAAGAACACCAAUGGCGAAGGCAGGUCUCUGGGCCGUUACUGACGCUGAGGAGCGAAAGCGUGGGGAGCGAACAGGAUUAGAUACCCUGGUAGUCCACGCCGUAAACGGUGGAUGCUGGAUGUGGGGCCCGUUCCACGGGUUCCGUGUCGGAGCUAACGCGUUAAGCAUCCCGCCUGGGGAGUACGGCCGCAAGGCUAAAACUCAAAGAAAUUGACGGGGGCCCGCACAAGCGGCGGAGCAUGCGGAUUAAUUCGAUGCAACGCGAAGAACCUUACCUGGGCUUGACAUGUUCCCGACAGCCGUAGAGAUAUGGCCUCCCUUCGGGGCGGGUUCACAGGUGGUGCAUGGUCGUCGUCAGCUCGUGUCGUGAGAUGUUGGGUUAAGUCCCGCAACGAGCGCAACCCUCGCCCUGUGUUGCCAGCACGUCAUGGUGGGAACUCACGGGGGACCGCCGGGGUCAACUCGGAGGAAGGUGGGGAUGACGUCAGAUCAUCAUGCCCCUUACGUCCAGGGCUUCACGCAUGCUACAAUGGCCGGUACAACGGGAUGCGACACGGCGACGUGGAGCGGAUCCCUGAAAACCGGUCUCAGUUCGGAUUGGAGUCUGCAACCCGACUCCAUGAAGGCGGAGUCGCUAGUAAUCGCGGAUCAGCAACGCCGCGGUGAAUGCGUUCCCGGGCCUUGUACACACCGCCCGUCAAGUCAUGAAAGUGGGUAGCACCCGAAGCCGGUGGCCUAACCCUUUGUGGAUGGAGCCGUCUAAGGUGAGACUCGUGAUUGGGACUAAGUCGUAACAAGGUAGCCGUAGUCCUGUGUGAAGUGAUCCGCUAAUCGUCGACC
Molecule: ribosomal RNA, 1546 nt
Filed under: Bifidobacterium pseudocatenulatum
Lineage: Bacteria; Bacillati; Actinomycetota; Actinomycetes; Bifidobacteriales; Bifidobacteriaceae
Description: bacterial SSU rRNA
Rfam family: Bacterial small subunit ribosomal RNA
Source: RNAcentral